RNAcentral lists this long non-coding RNA (581 nucleotides) under Nicotiana benthamiana. RNAcentral's name for it is "long non-coding RNA (NBEN_LNC014916)". Lineage: Eukaryota; Viridiplantae; Streptophyta; Magnoliopsida; Solanales; Solanaceae. The record is from RNAcentral.
UUACGUUAUAUUUAGACUUAUAGCUUCAAUGAAACUGGUUCAAUUUGCCAAAGGAUAGAAUUGUUAGGACGUUUGGUAUAUCCAGGACUCUUGCUCAAGAAUGAUAAUUAAAAUUUUCUAAUUGUGCAAAGUAUAGAAACAUAUCUGAACUUUCUCAUGAGCAUAAACUGAUGAACCAGGUUCUUCAAGUGAAACUUCUCUUGAUUGUGCCUCAAAUGUCAAAAUAGAAAAUUUAUAAGAGAUUAGUGAAUCGUAUAAACACAUGUCACAAGAGUAUACUAUUUACAAUAUGAGACAAAGUAGGAAUUAGUCUAAUAUUCACAUGAAUUAAGUACUCCUAACCAAUUUUUUUUCAUUUUUUUCAUUUUUUUUCAUUGUGCAUUUCUGAACUGGACCUUUUAGGUGAUCUUAAUCAUCCCUAUGAACUACAUAAAAAACAAAGCAUGAGAUUACCUCUCCUUGGUUUUCUUAAGCUUUGGCAUUUUCAGAAGACCCAGGUUCAUCUCCUUCACUAGCGGAGAUGUACUCAUCAGAUUCAGAGCUAGAGUUGGUCUCCUUUGCUGAGACUUCUUUCUUUUGAC